This 393-nucleotide ribosomal RNA is filed under the name uncultured bacterium. Its description in RNAcentral is "partial 16S ribosomal RNA". It matches the Rfam family "Bacterial small subunit ribosomal RNA", at positions 354 to 763 of the family's 1533-position model. The record is from RNAcentral.
UGGGGGAAUAUUGGACAAUGGGGGGCAACCCUGAUCCAGCAAUGCCGCGUGUGUGAAGAAGGCCUUCGGAUUGUAAAGCACUUUCGACGGGGACGAUGAUGACGGUACCCGUAGAAGAAGCCCCGGCUAACUUCGCGCCAGCAGCCGCGGUAAUACGAAGGGGGCUAGCGUUGCUCGGAAUGACUGGGCGUAAAGGGCGUGUAGGCGGUUUACACAGUCAGAUGUGAAAUCCCCGGGCUUAACCUGGGAGCUGCAUUUGAUACGUGUAGACUAGAGUGUGAGAGAGGGUUGUGGAAUUCCCAGUGUAGAGGUGAAAUUCGUAGAUAUUGGGAAGAACACCGGUGGCGAAGGCGGCAACCUGGCUCAUGACUGACGCUGAGGCGCGAAAGCGUG